CUCCACAAUGCUCCUCAAAGCUUUUUUGCAACUCUCCCCAAAUUGCCCUUUUCCGUUUUUUUGCCUUAUAACCCCACAAAAUUGGAGUUCUCUACCACUCAAAAGUUGCAUGAUAAAUUUCAAAAAGCAAGGUUAUAUUUGGUAUUUCAUAACCUAUUUACACACUGUCCAAUGUUAAAAUAUUCCAAUUUCAAAUUUCAUAUUCUCCCUCUUUUUCUCCCUUUAUAAUCAAUUUGUGUUUUCUCUCUCUUAAUCUACUCAUAUUCAUGUUCUAUCUUCUCUUUCAUUUUCUCUUUUCUUCUGCAUAUUUUUUCCUUACUACUAAUGUUUGUUCUUCUUAUUUUGCAGAGAAAGAAGAAUAAAAGAAAAUNNNNNNNNNNNNAAAUUUGUUGCAGAAAAUAAAUAAGAGCUUAGAAGAUGCACUUCUCCAAAAAUAAAUAAAAAGUCAAGCAAAUGAAUAUCAAUCUUCACUAAUUUCUUUUUCAUUAAACAAAAAACAGCAGCACCGCAUACUUAUCAAAAGCAUUGUUAUCAUUUUAUUUUUCACUAAUUAAUGCAAUAAUAUGUUUUUUUCUUUCAGGAUACAUGAUACAAACAAAAAUGAGAAGAAAACAAGAAACGGAGGUAAAAACAACUACUUAACACUUAUUGAUGCUCAAUAUUAUUUUUUAGCUUUAUAUUAUAUUUGCUGUUCUGAAGAAUAAAAACAACUACUUUUUUGAAAAAAAAUUGUUGCAGAAGAACAAAAAGACAAUAACGAUUUUAAUAAAUAAACAAAUAAAAUUAACAGAUCUAGAAUCAAAUAGAAUAAAAGAGCCAAAAAAAUUGAUUUUGUUUUUUUGCUUUUUAUUUCCAUGCACAGAAACAAUAAAAAGUUUGAUUUUUUUUUCAUUUUCAUUUUUUUUGUAAGGCUUUCUAUUAUUUAUAUAUACAGAAGCAAUAAAAAACUUUUUAAUAAAAAAUAGAGAUUAGUCAAAAAAAUUAAAAAAUUGAGAGAUUAGUCCAAACAAAAAUAAAGAGAGAGAGAGAAUUGCAACCGUUAGCUAAGAGAGAAGAGACAAGAAUAAGAAAUGGGUAGUUGAGAAUUAAAUGGAUGUUGGAAAUAGUUGAGAAAUUUAUGGCUUUUUUUUUGUAAAAAAUUUGUUUUUAUUUUUAUAGUAGACAUAAAAAUUACUUUUAUCUAUACCAAAAAAAAAUACUUUUAUCUUCUUAUUAACCAAAAAGAAAAAAAAAUCAUGAUCUUUUUUAUAAAAAAAAGUAUAUCAUCAUAAAUAACAAUUUUUAAGACCCAAAUUUAAA
This 1299-nucleotide long non-coding RNA is filed under the name Trifolium pratense (red clover). Its description in RNAcentral is "long non-coding RNA (TPRA_LNC004376)". The record is from RNAcentral. Lineage: Eukaryota; Viridiplantae; Streptophyta; Magnoliopsida; Fabales; Fabaceae.